AUUGAACGCUGGCGGAAUGCUUUACACAUGCAAGUCGAACGGCAGCACGGGGCAACCUGGUGGCGAGUGGCGAACGGGUGAGUAAUACAUCGGAACGUGCCCAAUCGUGGGGGAUAACGUAGCGAAAGUUACGCUAAUACCGCAUACGAUCUACGGAUGAAAGCGGGGGAUCGCAAGACCUCGCGCGAUUGGAUGAGCCGACGUCGGAUUAGCUAGUUGGCGGGGUAAAGGCCCACCAAGGCGACGAUCCGUAGCUGGUCUGAGAGGAUGAUCAGCCACACUGGAACUGAGACACGGUCCAGACUCCUACGGGAGGCAGCAGUGGGGAAUAUUGGACAAUGGGCGCAAGCCUGAUCCAGCAAUGCCGCGUGUGUGAAGAAGGCCUUCGGGUGUAAAGCACUUUUAUCAGGAACGAAAAGACGUUGGAUUAAUACUACUGACGUGCUGACGGUACCUGAGGAAUAAGCACCGGCUAACUUCGUGCCAGCACG
Molecule: ribosomal RNA, 491 nt
Filed under: uncultured bacterium
Lineage: Bacteria
Description: bacterial SSU rRNA
Rfam family: Bacterial small subunit ribosomal RNA
Source: RNAcentral